Molecule: ribosomal RNA, 253 nt
Filed under: uncultured bacterium
Lineage: Bacteria
Description: partial 16S ribosomal RNA
Rfam family: Bacterial small subunit ribosomal RNA
Source: RNAcentral
UACGUAGGAGGCGAGCGUUGUCCGGAAUUACUGGGCGUAAAGCGUGCGCAGGCGGUUCUAUAAGACAGAUGUGAAAUCCCCGGGCUCAACCUGGGGACUGCAUUUGUGACUGUAGAGCUGGAGUACGGUAGAGGGGGAUGGAAUUCCGCGUGUAGCAGUGAAAUGCGUAGAUAUGCGGAGGAACACCGAUGGCGAAGGCAAUCCCCUGGACCUGUACUGACGCUCAUGCACGAAAGCGUGGGGAGCAAACAGG